RNAcentral lists this ribosomal RNA (460 nucleotides) under uncultured bacterium. RNAcentral describes it as "partial 16S ribosomal RNA". It matches the Rfam family "Bacterial small subunit ribosomal RNA", at positions 338 to 795 of the family's 1533-position model. The record is from RNAcentral.
CCUACGGGUGGCAGCAGUGAGGAAUAUUGGUCAAUGGCCGGAAGGCUGAACCAGCCAUGCCGCGUGAAGGUCAGUGCCCUAUGGGCGUUAAACUUCUUUUGUGCGGGAGCAAUAAUGGUCACGUGUGGCCAGACGAGAGUACCGGACGAAUAAGCAUCGGCUAACUCAGUGCCAGCAGCAGCGGUAGUACGGGGGUUGCAAGCGUUAUCCGGAUUUGUUGGGUUUAAAGGGUGCGUAGGCUGUUAGGUAAGUCAGCGGUGAAAUGCACCCGGUCAAGGGGGUGAAGUGCCAUGGAUUCUGCCUUGCUGGAAUGCGGAUGCCGUGGGAGGAAUGUGUGGUGUAGCGGUGAAAUGCAUAGAUAUCACACAGAACACCGAUUGCGAAGGCAUCUCACGAAUCCGCGAUUGACGCUGAUGCACGAAAGCGUGGGUAUCAAACAGGAUUAGAUACCCGGGUAGUC